Molecule: transfer RNA, 72 nt
Filed under: Camelus bactrianus (Bactrian camel)
Lineage: Eukaryota; Metazoa; Chordata; Mammalia; Artiodactyla; Camelidae
Also listed under: 1 other name
Rfam family: tRNA
About the family: Transfer RNA (tRNA) molecules are approximately 80 nucleotides in length. Their secondary structure includes four short double-helical elements and three loops (D, anti-codon, and T loops). Further hydrogen bonds mediate the characteristic L-shaped molecular structure. tRNAs have two regions of fundamental functional importance: the anti-codon, which is responsible for specific mRNA codon recognition, and the 3' end, to which the tRNAs corresponding amino acid is attached (by aminoacyl-tRNA synthetases). tRNAs cope with the degeneracy of the genetic code in two manners: having more than one tRNA (with a specific anti-codon) for a particular amino acid; and 'wobble' base-pairing, i.e. permitting non-standard base-pairing at the 3rd anti-codon position.
Source: Rfam by way of RNAcentral
GAGGGUAUAGCUCAGUGGUAGAGUGCCGACUUAGGACGCCCAAGGUCCUGGGUUCAAUCCUCAGUACCGCCA